AUGGUGUUGUUCUGGUUCUAUGGAGGAAGAUUCUUUUUCAGUGUUUUCAGACCUUUGACUGAAUUUACCUCCUCUAGUUUUGUGUGUUUGAUGACUGUUCUUCCUUUUCACAGGCAGGUGACUUUGUUGUUGUUGUUGUUUAAAAAAAAAAAAAAAUGCAGCUCACAGUGUCAGUGCUGGGACCCUGGGCGUAGAGAAGCAGCCCCCUGCUACCUGAUACUCCAGACGGCCCAGCCACUCCGACACUUUCUUUCCUUGUUCUCAAAGGUGAAACUGGCUUAUGGGAAAAUGGGAUCUGGCCUCUUGGCUCAGAGGGUACAUCCCUCCCAAAAGGAAAAAAUGAAGAUCGAUGAUUGCCUUACAGAAGUUCAGACAGUUUGGGGCACUUGUGGAGCCAGAAAGCCGGUCUUCCUGUUCCUGGCUAGAACCCUCUUCUGCUAUAGUGAUGGAACAGUGGUCUUCAGAAACAAUGCCCGUCAUCUCCACUUCUGUGAACAUGUCCUGUACGGACAUCCCCCAAGAGGGUCCUGUGGAUUCGAUGCCACUCUGUUGAGGACACCACUGGCUCUAGUCCUGAUCCAGAGGUAUGCUUCCAUAUUUGUGUGCCUGUUUCUUUUCUUGCACAAUGAAGUCUAG
RNAcentral lists this long non-coding RNA (636 nucleotides) under Sus scrofa (pig). RNAcentral describes it as "lncRNA (ENSSSCG00025041737.1)". The record is from RNAcentral. Lineage: Eukaryota; Metazoa; Chordata; Mammalia; Artiodactyla; Suidae.